CGGGCAGUGCCCGGCGGAGCGGAGCGUGCUGCAGGGUGCCCGGAGCCAGGGGGUCUUUGUUCUGCACGUAUGCACCGAAGUGUAGAUAAUGGGUCCUCGAUGAAGAGAUUUGACCAAGUAAGGAGUUCUGUCUGUCAGACGAAGACUUGCCAGCGUUUGUGGUGAAAUAAUCUGCUCUGUUUGGAGACUGCGGGAAAAAUCCUUUCCGUACAGCUGAGAAUUUCUCACUUCAAAGCAUCGCACAAUUGACCUGCAGAAUGAAAUGACCGUGGCUGUUAGCAGUUGCAGUGCUCCUUUACACCUGGUGACCCCUGUUUCCAUGUGCCCAGCUCCCAGAAGGAGCCAUGGCCAGGUCAGACCUGAUGGUGGGA
Molecule: long non-coding RNA, 371 nt
Filed under: Numida meleagris (helmeted guineafowl)
Lineage: Eukaryota; Metazoa; Chordata; Aves; Galliformes; Numididae
Description: lncRNA (ENSNMEG00000002860.1)
Source: RNAcentral